Molecule: transfer RNA, 73 nt
Filed under: Bacteroidetes bacterium GWF2_35_48
Lineage: Bacteria; Pseudomonadati; Bacteroidota
Also listed under: 4 other names
Description: tRNA-Gln
Rfam family: tRNA
About the family: Transfer RNA (tRNA) molecules are approximately 80 nucleotides in length. Their secondary structure includes four short double-helical elements and three loops (D, anti-codon, and T loops). Further hydrogen bonds mediate the characteristic L-shaped molecular structure. tRNAs have two regions of fundamental functional importance: the anti-codon, which is responsible for specific mRNA codon recognition, and the 3' end, to which the tRNAs corresponding amino acid is attached (by aminoacyl-tRNA synthetases). tRNAs cope with the degeneracy of the genetic code in two manners: having more than one tRNA (with a specific anti-codon) for a particular amino acid; and 'wobble' base-pairing, i.e. permitting non-standard base-pairing at the 3rd anti-codon position.
Source: RNAcentral
UGACCUGUGGUGUAACUGGCAACACAACUGAUUCUGGAUCAGUAGAGUCUAGGUUCGACCCCUAGCAGGUCAA